RNAcentral lists this ribosomal RNA (402 nucleotides) under uncultured bacterium. Its description in RNAcentral is "partial 16S ribosomal RNA". It matches the Rfam family "Bacterial small subunit ribosomal RNA", at positions 29 to 526 of the family's 1533-position model. The record is from RNAcentral.
AUUGAACGCUGGCGGCAGGCCUAACACAUGCAAGUCGAGCGAGCGGCGGACGGGUGAGUAAUGUAUGGGGACUGCUCGAUAGCGGGGGAUAACUACUGGAAACGGUAGCUAAUAACGCAUACUAUCGGAUAACCCAUAUGGGAUUGGCUAGUAGGUGAGGUAAUGGCUCACCUAGGCGACGAUCCCUAGCGGGUCUGAGAGGAUGAUCAGCAACACGGGGACUGGGACACGGCCCAGACUCCUAGGGGGGCAGCAGGGGGAAAUAUUGGACAGUGGGCGAAAGCCUGAGGCAGACAUGCCGCUUAUAGGAAGAAGGCCCUAGGGUUGAAAAGUACUUUCAGUCGGGAGACGUUACCACAGAAGAAGCACCGGCUAACUACGUGCCAGCAGCCGCGGUAAUUC